Molecule: long non-coding RNA, 1154 nt
Filed under: Parus major (Great Tit)
Lineage: Eukaryota; Metazoa; Chordata; Aves; Passeriformes; Paridae
Description: lncRNA (ENSPMJG00000002182.1)
Source: RNAcentral
CAGCUCGUAGCACAGCACCCCCAGGCACCACAGGUCGACCUUCUCGUCGUGGCUGUUGCCCUCCACCAUCUCCGGGGGCAGGUAAUCCAGGGUGCCACAGAGAGUCCGGCGCCUGAGGGGUUAAAACACACCUGGGCACACCUGGGCACACCUGGGCACUCAGAGAACCCCACACCUGACUCAGGUAAUCCCAGGGUGCCGCACAGGGUCCGGCGCCUGAGGGGUUAAAACACACCUGGGCACACCUGGGCACACCUGGGCACUCAGAGCCCCACACCUGGCACAGGUAAUCCCAGGUGAUGCACAGGGUCCUGCGCCUGAGGGGUUAAAACACACCUGGGCACACCUGGGCACACCUGGGCACUCAGAGAACCCAUGGAACCUCACACCUGGCUCAGGUAAUCCCAGGUGAUGCACAGGGUCCGGCGCCUGAGGGGUUAAAACACACCUGGGCACACCUGGGCACACCUGGGUGCUCACAGGACCCCACACCUGGCUCAGGUAAUCCCAGGUGAUGCACAGGCUCUGGCACGUGAAGGGUUAAAAAUGUACCUGGGCAAUCACAGAUUCCCCCAGGUGUCCCCAGGUGUGUCCAGGUGUGUCCCCAGGUGUGUCCCACCUGUCCCACGUGUGUCCCCAGGUGUCCCCAGGUGUGUCCAGAUGUGCCCAGGUGUGUUCCCAGGUGUUCCCAGCUGUCCCCAGGUGUGUCCCACCUAUCCCAGGUGUCCCCAGCUGUCCCCAGGUGUCCCAGGUCUCACCUGAGGGAGGGGGCGUGCACGGACCACCCGAAAUCCGCGAUCUUGAGCCAUUUCCCAGGCCCAUAACCCCCCCAGGUGUCCCCAGGUGUGUCCCAGGUGUCCCCAGCUGUCCCCAGGUGUGCUCAGGUGUGUCCCUGAUGUUCCCAGGUGUUCCCAGAUGUGUCCCACCUAUCCCAGGUGUGUCCAGGCGUGCCCAGGUGUAUCCAGGUGUGUCCCCAGGUGUCCUCAGGUGUCCCCAGGUGUGUCCCAGGUGUAUCCAGGUGUGUCCCCAGCUGUCCCCAGGUGUCCCCAGGUGUCUCCAGGUGUCCCCAGGUGUCCCCAGGUGUAUCCAGGUGUCCCCAGGUGUGUCCCCAGGUGUCCCCAGGUGUCCCCAGAUGUGUCCCCAGGUGUCUCCAG